GACGAACGCUGGCGGCGUGCUUAACACAUGCAAGUCGAACGGAAAGGCCCUGCUUGCAGGGUGCUCGAGUGGCGAACGGGUGAGUAACACGUGGGUGAUCUGCCCCUUACUUUGGGAUAAGCCUGGGAAACUGGGUCUAAUACUGGAUAGGACCAUGCUGUAGGUGGUGUGGUGGAAAGAUUAGUUUCGGUAAGGGAUGAGCUCGCGGCCUAUCAGCUUGUUGGUGGGGUAAUGGCCUACCAAGGCGUCGACGGGUAGCCGGCCUGAGAGGGUGGACGGCCACAUUGGGACUGAGAUACGGCCCAGACUCCUACGGGAGGCAGCAGUGGGGAAUAUUGCACAAUGUGCGCAAGCCUGAUGCAGCGACGCCGCGUGGGGGAUGACGGCCUUCGGGUUGUAAACUCCUUUCAGCCAUGACGAAGCCCUUGUGGUGACGGUAGUGGUAGAAGAAGCACCGGCUAACUACGUG
This 469-nucleotide ribosomal RNA is filed under the name uncultured bacterium. Its description in RNAcentral is "partial 16S ribosomal RNA". It matches the Rfam family "Bacterial small subunit ribosomal RNA", at positions 28 to 507 of the family's 1533-position model. The record is from RNAcentral.